AUUGAACGCUGGCGGCAGGCUUAACACAUGCAAGUCGAACGAGUGGCGGACGGGUGAGUAAUGCUUGGGAAUCUAGCUUAUGGAGGGGGAUAACUACGGGAAACUGUAGCUAAUACCGCGUACCAUAGGAUGAGCCCAAGUGGGAUUAGGUAGUUGGUGGGGUAAAGGCUCACCAAGCCGACGAUCCCUAGCUGGUCUGAGAGGAUGACAGGACACACUGGGAUUGAGACACGGCACAGAGUACAACGGGAGGAAGCAGUGGGGAAUAUUGCGCAAUGGGGGCAACCUGACGCAGCCAUGCCGCGUGAAUGAAGAAGGCCUUCGGGUUGUAAAGUUCUUUCGGUGGCGAGGCGUUAACUACAGAAGAAGCACCGGCUAACUCCGUGCCAGGCGCCGCGGUAAUAG
RNAcentral lists this ribosomal RNA (405 nucleotides) under uncultured bacterium. RNAcentral's name for it is "partial 16S ribosomal RNA". It matches the Rfam family "Bacterial small subunit ribosomal RNA", at positions 30 to 526 of the family's 1533-position model. The record is from RNAcentral.